AGAGGGGGCAAGCGUUGCUCGGAAUCACUGGGCGUAAAGGGCGCGUAGGCGGGAUGGCAAGUCAGUCGUGAAAUCUCUCGGCUCAACCGAGAAACGUCGGCUGAUACUGCCGUUCUUGAGGGAUGCAGAGGAGACUGGAAUUCCCGGUGUAGCGGUGAAAUGUGUAGAGAUCGGGAGGAACACCGGUGGCGAAGGCGGGUCUCUGGGCAUUUUCCUGACGCUGAGGCGCGAAAGCGUGGGGAGCAAACGGGAUUAGAUACCCCGGUAGUCCACGCUGUAAACGAUGACGACUAGGUGUGGGGUGGGUUAGUCCAUUCCGUGCCGCAGCUAACGCAUUAAGUCGUCCGCCUGGGGAGUACGGCCGCAAGGUUG
RNAcentral lists this ribosomal RNA (372 nucleotides) under uncultured bacterium. Its description in RNAcentral is "bacterial SSU rRNA". It matches the Rfam family "Bacterial small subunit ribosomal RNA", at positions 527 to 896 of the family's 1533-position model. The record is from RNAcentral.